UACGUAGGGCGCAAGCGUUAUCCGGAAUUAUUGGGCGUAAAGAGCUCGUAGGCGGUUUGUCGCGUCUGCCGUGAAAGUCCGGGGCUCAACUCCGGAUCUGCGGUGGGUACGGGCAGACUAGAGUGAUGUAGGGGAGACUGGAAUUCCUGGUGUAGCGGUGAAAUGCGCAGAUAUCUGGAGGAACACCGGUGGCGAAGGCGGCAUCCUGGACCAACACUGACGCUGAGGAGCGAAAGCCAGGGGAGCAAACGGG
RNAcentral lists this ribosomal RNA (253 nucleotides) under uncultured bacterium. RNAcentral's name for it is "partial 16S ribosomal RNA". It matches the Rfam family "Bacterial small subunit ribosomal RNA", at positions 524 to 776 of the family's 1533-position model. The record is from RNAcentral.